RNAcentral lists this ribosomal RNA (492 nucleotides) under uncultured bacterium. RNAcentral's name for it is "partial 16S ribosomal RNA". It matches the Rfam family "Bacterial small subunit ribosomal RNA", at positions 28 to 506 of the family's 1533-position model. The record is from RNAcentral.
GACGAACGCUGGCGGCGUGCUUAACACAUGCAAGUCGAACGGUGAAGGGGCCGGUUUUUGCUGGUUCUGGAUGAGUGGCGAACGGGUGAGUAACACGUGAGUAACCUGCCCCCUUCUUCUGGAUAACCGCAUGAAAGUGUGGCUAAUACGGGAUAUUCUGCGCCUGCUGCAUGGUGGGUGUGGGAAAGAUAUUGUUUCGGUGGGGGAUGGGCUCGCGGCCUAUCAGCUUGUUGGUGGGGUGAUGGCCUACCAAGGCGUUGGCGGGUAGCCGGCCUGGGAGGGUGGCCGGUCACACUGGGACUGAGACACGGCCCAGACUCCUACGGGAGGCAGCAGUGGGGAAUAUUGCACAAUGGGCGCAAGACUGAUGCAGCGACGCCGCGUGAGGGAUGGAGGCCUUCGGGUUGUAAACCUCUUUCGCAAGUGAAGCAGGCCUGUCCCUUUUGUGGGUGGGUUGACGGUAGCUGGAUAAGAAGCGCCGGCUAACUACGU